UGCUACCAGAAGAAACAAAAGAGGGAAAAGGGCUUGGAGGAAAUGGGGAACGCCGAGGGAAGCAGGGGAGGAAAAGAGGCGCGGGCUAGCGCUGGCGGGCCUCGCCGUCACCACCGAGCUGCUCACCGCUUGCCGCCAUCACGAAGAGGACCAGAAUCGAGUAAUGGGGAAGAAGCCACGCGGCAAAGGAGAGAAGAAUAGGAACUCACUGCGUCACCGUCACCCACGGGGCUGCGAGCUGCGCCCAGUCACCGUCGGGGUCACCGCGUCGUCAUCCUUGCCAGCUCCAAACGAGAAGCACAGUGGAGCUCCGUUUCUGCUUCCCUGGUCUGCCGUGAGUGAGCGCCGUUGGAGCCACAUCGCCGUGUCCUUCACUGUCAUCGCCGAGUUGGGAGAGAGAGGAAGCGUCGCAACAGCUGGCUCCCGAGAAGGGAAAAGUUCAUGUAAAGAGAGAGCGAGCUGCGGGGAGAGGGAGGCCGUGCGUUCAGUCGUGCACAUCACCGCCCAAGGACCGCCGCUGCUGCUGCCAGAAACCGCUACUGAUUUGGGGCUGUCAUAUGUUACGUUGUCGCUGUCGAAGAACCUGCGGCUCUGUGUUUCCGACCGCCGAUGGUGGCGCAGGUGUUGCUGGAAACACCAUCGAAACUGCCGCUGCUCGGUGUAAUUGUUCUUCCUUUGUUGCGGUUCGAGUUUUGAUUGCUGGUGUUCUGGUCGCCGGGGGUAGCACGGUUGUUGCCGAAACCACCGUCGGAGCUACCACUGCUUGAUUCAGCCGCUCUUUCUUAGUUUCAGGGUUAGAAUUCGAGUUUACUUGUGGCGUUGAGGUUGUUUCUUCUAUUGAGGAAAACACGCGGAGCUGGGAUUUUGAUUGUUGAUUUCGAGUUGAGGCGAAAAGGACUCUGUGAGACGUUUGGGUUAUGGAUUUGUGUUUUGAGGAUAUGGGCGCUGAAGUCACGAAGAGUUUAUUUAAUUGUUAUUGUGAUGUUCUAUAUUGCUUUAGAUUGUUACUUAUCGUACCCUCGCCUUUAUCUUGAUAUAUUCUGUAAGAGGGAUAGGAAUUGUAUUGGAUAAUGCUUGUAAUAUUAUUUAUAUGUAUAUGUAUAUAUAUGGGUGUACUCCUUAUGAGUUUUUGUAAGUUGUAUGAUAUCUAUGGAUGUACGUUAUCGAAUGAAGUAUCUUGGGAGCGAUAUUGCGGUAAAAAUUUUUAAACAGGCUCAUAUUUUUGUAUUAAAUAUAAUAAGUGUCGUCGUAAUGUCCGAUCUAUCAGAGUUGCGCAGCCGGAAGCGUGAGCUUUGGUAGUUAGGGUGUUACAAUCAACGCGUACGCGUGGGUGUGAAAUUUUCUUAAUGACGCGAGAGCGUCGGGCACGCGUCCGCAUGCCCUUGGUUUUGUGCGAUUCGCGCGAAGCCAGCCGCGCGCACGCGCAUUUCUCUAUUCGCGUGGCUAGGGAACCAAUAUUAGCAUACGACGCGUGCGCGUCAAGCACGCGCACGCGUCAGUGACGCGUACGCGUGGUCAAAUUUGUGCGUCUAGCACACUUCCUACCGCAAACCAACAUAACUCUCUGCCUAAACACUCUUACGUCGAUUUUUCAGGUCACGUGUACGCGUCGCUGACGCGCCCGCGUGAAUGGUGAAAAUCACAAACGACGCGCAUGCGUGGGGUACGCGUACGCGUGGGUUUGUUUGUGCUAGAGGCAUCAUUCUUGCGCCACUCCCGCGCAACCCUCUGUUCAAAUUUAUUUUUCACGCACACCCAUCUGACGCGUACGUGUCAACGACGCUUGCGCGUCGUGUGCCCUCUUUUUUUUUGGUUCCUGUUCUAAAAUAG
Molecule: long non-coding RNA, 1830 nt
Organism: Arachis duranensis
Lineage: Eukaryota; Viridiplantae; Streptophyta; Magnoliopsida; Fabales; Fabaceae
Exons: 5
Source: RefSeq, a predicted model, not a curated record